CUUUAUCUUGCUUGUUAUGUAUGUUAUAUGGUAAAGGGGUUAAGCAGUUCUGUUACACCGUAAGAGCUGUUAAAGUCAGAAGAGAUAUAUGUUGAAAUAAAGCUAGAAAAUGCAUGUGAAUGGAUGUUGUGUGUAAAUAGAAAAUGAAAGGUUAGGAGUGCCAGCCUAGGAGUUACCACUUCGGUAUCGAUUGGCUGACGAAUGCGUUAAGUGGAAAUAACCAGAUGAUCCCCAGAGGGCAGACUGAAAUCCAUCCAACAGCCUCAAGGAUGGGAGAACGGAAGAACAAGAUAACAUCUGGCAGCACGGAGCCGUCAGGGAUGUGUCAUCUGCUGAUUGAUUCAGCAACAGCAUGAUGAAGCCACCUCCAUAGACUGGCAUAGGAAUAAACUCCUAUAAAAACAGACCCUAAAGACUAAGAACUUUGAGCCUGGUUCUACAACCACCCUCCAGGAGCAUCAGAUGCACAUCUGACAAAGACUUGGCUCCACCCUCAUGGCAAGGUUACCUGGCCCGUAACUUGGCAUGAGCAACCUCUAGGCUGACCCAGUAGUUCUAGUGACCUGGCCAGAGGGCCAAAUCAUGAAGAGGGACAAACCUGAGUCCAGAGAGAGAUCACAUGGCAAGCAAUCAAAGGAAAAGGCCUCAGACUGGUUGAGAGCUAAUCCCCAGAAGAUCCACAAGGAGUCAUCACAGCAAACAACAAGGAAGCAAAGAAAUUUAUGGGGGACACGCAACCCUUCCCCGGCAGCCCUGGUGCAUCUAUGCGAGGACCUGGAGCAGACAGAAGAGAUAUGAAUAACUGCGGAGUGGGGAGAAGAGGUGGGCGUGCAUUUGUGGGAAGAUGUCAAUCACUGCUAGGGGGCGGGGCUUGGCAGGCAUGUGUGUGAACGAGAGAGAGAGACAGACUCUGUCCCGCUCACAUGCCUGGUGUGGAGGGAUAAGACUUCCUGUUGUUUGGAGGUAGGCAUGAGGCAGACUCUGUCCCCUGAGGCAGAGCAGAAAUGCAGCAGCCUUCCUGCAUAGUUGUUAAUAUUCCUAUUCUUAGUUAAUUGUUUCAGUUCUUAGACUCUGUCUACACUACAGACCUUACAGCGGAACAGCUGUACUGCGGUAGCUGGGCCACAGUGAGGUCUCCUCUGUAGCCACUCUAUGCUGGCAGGCGAGAAGUCUCCCACCAGCAUAAUUAAACCACCCUGAAUGAGUGGCGGUAGUACAUCUCCCAUUGACAUAGCACUGUCCACACUGGUGCUUUUUUCGGUGAAACUUCUGUCAGACAGCGGUGUCUUUGUUUCACACCCCUGACUGACAAAAGUUUUGCCGACAAAAGUGCUAGUGUAGACAAAACCCUAGUAAGUAUCCCUAGGAGCAUAAAAUACGUGUAAAAGUUUUAAGGCUCCUUUACAUUGCCAGAGUGGUAGAAAGGAGCCUUAUUGUAAAUGACAGUAAGGGAACCCUCAGCUAGAAAGAUCUAUGCACUUUCUCCCUUUUUUCCUGUGCCAGAUUGGCACAAUUCGGUUAGAUUACAGCUCAGGAUCUAUUUUACUUACACAUUUUUUUUUUAAAAAAAGGACCAUGAGGGCAAACAAAUCAUUUAUAAAACAGUCAAUAAAAUGUCAGGACAAUCAGAACCAAACACUUCCCAAAGUAGCUGGCCAGGAUUAUAACUGGAAUGCAGGGUGUUGGUUAUUAAGGAUUUGUAACUUAACUUUCAUGUUUUUAGGAAAUGCUGAAUAGUUUUGGUGACUUUUUUAUAUUGUAUUUUGAAUAAAUUACUAGGGCUGUCAAGCAAUUAAAAUUGUGAUUAAUCACACAAUUAAAAAUAACGAUUUAUCACGAUCAAUCAUGCUGUUAAUAACAGAAUACCAUUUAUUACAAAUAUUUGCACUGUAAAUAACAAAAUAAAUAGUUUUUUUUUUCAGUUCACCUAAUACAAGUACUGUAGUGCAAUCUCUUCUACAUUUAUAAGUUCAACUUCCAUGAUAAAUUAUGUACAAAAAACCUGCAUUCAAAAAUAAACCAGUGUAAAAC
Molecule: long non-coding RNA, 2031 nt
Organism: Caretta caretta (loggerhead turtle)
Lineage: Eukaryota; Metazoa; Chordata; Testudines; Cheloniidae
Source: RefSeq, a predicted model, not a curated record